Molecule: long non-coding RNA, 1916 nt
Organism: Rhododendron vialii
Lineage: Eukaryota; Viridiplantae; Streptophyta; Magnoliopsida; Ericales; Ericaceae
Exons: 2
Source: RefSeq, a predicted model, not a curated record
AGAGUACGGGCCUCAACAGGGCUUUAGUAGCGCAGUUGCCCUCUUCAGCAGGAAAAAGAUUGGACAAGGUUCAGAGAGUAGGGGCGUUUAUUGAGUGUUUGCCAACUUGUAGCAUUUUUACCGCACUAGGUCGCGAAUUUAUAGGGUGUUCGUGGCGCGUCCAAAAUCAGCUUAUCACAGUCGUUCAUCUCGCCCCACCUGUCCGUGUUCUCCCUUCGCACAACCGUAGAGAAUCUCAUCUCCUUCGGCGCCCUUUCUCGCGUGUUUACAGCGCCUCAGUAGUGCGCGUACAUUGCCUGGGUAUAUAUUUUCCAGCCGAUUAUUUUAAUUCAUUUGAACCUUAUCCACUUCUCUCACUAGGGUUUUCAGAUGGGUUAAGGUCCUUAAGGAGCUCUAUGGCCGUUGUUCGUAUCUGUUAAGGGCUUCUCAUCUAGGGCCUCAUCUCUGCUUUGGGUGAUGUAUUCACCUUUCGGAUCAUUUUGAUUUAUAUGGAAGCUUUUGGUUUCUAGGUUGUUAGAGUUUUUAGAUGGUUCUCUAGCAUUCUAGAAUUUGUUUCCUUGUAAUGAGUUUUUGUUGGAACGGUUUUGUCCCGGAAAUGCCAAAGGGGGAGAUUGUUAAUGUAAUUGGCGAUUUCCGGAUGCGACAAACCGUUGGAGUCUGUAUUUAUUCUUUUUCCAUUUGGGUUGGGAGGUGAUUUUAUUUUGUCUAGAUUAGAUACUCCGCCCGUUGGUUCAAGAGUUGAUCACGAAGGCCGUGCCGUGCAUUUUGCUUGGAAAGGUAUAUGCAUCUCAUGUGCAUUUAGCUUAAUAUUUUUCCAUGCAUCAUUAAAGCUAUUCGGUGUCUUAAUCUUUUAUGAAAUAUCAUUUAUGCACUAACCUUAUAUUAUUGGCCAUGUUUUAUUUGAAGGGAAAUUUUGUCUAAGGCCUUUUUAAGUGCUUGCGCCUUAGCAGCGCCUUAGCAGCGCCUUACCAGACUAAGGCCCUUGCACGCGUGUUAAGAGAGCCUUAGUAGUGCCUUAGCCGAGUAAGGCCCUUGUACGCGUGCUAAGAGCGCCUUUAGAGGGCUCUCCAGGAUUUUUCUUGCUUGGCCAUAUAUAAGCUUGAUUUUCAUUUUUCUAGGGCAAGAAGAGAUAACAAUAGCCCACUUUAGAGAGAGAAAACAUUAUCUCUUUUGCUCUUGUGCUUUCAUUUGCAUUUGGAUGAUUUGAAUCUAGCAUUCAAUCAUCUUUGUUCAAUCUAGAGAAAUACUUUCUUGAUUCAUGUAUUCUCUCUAGUUUGAUUCUUUUGCAUAAAAAUCUUCACUUUACAAAAUCCAUACUUUCAUGCCUAUGAUACUACUUGGCCGGAUGAUACCGGAGCCGUGGUGAACAGAGAUCGAGGCGUUGGACUCGUGGUGGCUAUGGGAUCAAGAAGGAGUUCGGGGAGCUACAUCAAAGUGGUGGAGUUAGGAUAAGCUUUUGGGGUAAAGUUGUUAUUCCUCUCUUAGCACUUUGUAAACCUUUUGAUCUAUAGCAACUUUGGUAGUUAGGCCGUGGUUUUAAGCUUAGGGUGUGAUUGACCCUAAGUAGUUUCCACGUAUAUCUCGGUAUUUGCGUUCUUUAGAAUAAUUGCUCUUAACUUAUAUUAUUAAUUUGGAUAGCAUUGGCAUGGAGUUUGGAUAGUAACUUGAAUUGUUUAAGUUGGAGGUUGAGUUAAUUUAAAUCGGUCGUCCCAUUCACCCCCCCUCUGGGACUUUGUAGUGCAUCAGAUAAUUUCAGUGGUGUUGGUGGCGGUGAUGGUGAUGGAGUGGUGGUGGUGGUGGUGGUGGUGAUGGAGGUGGUGGAGGAGUGGUGGUGGCGGCGACGUGGUGGUGGUCAUUAUGAUGGUGGUGGUGGUGGUGGUUAUGUGGUUGCAAUAAAAUGGAAAAAAAUGAAAAAA